RNAcentral lists this non-coding RNA (65 nucleotides) under unclassified sequences. RNAcentral's name for it is "DUF3800-IX RNA". It matches the Rfam family "DUF3800-IX RNA". Rfam says of the family: Actinobacteria, Firmicutes (1 example), Nitrospirae, Proteobacteria, Verrucomicrobia (1 example). The record is from Rfam by way of RNAcentral.
GCCCGCUAAGCCGAACUGUCACCGUAUGGUGUGCGUGCCCGUAAGGGCUAGGCUUGCGGGUUUUG